CCCGCUGAACUUAAGCAUAUCAAUAAGCGGAGGAAAAGAAACCAACAGGGAUUGCCUCAGUAACGGCGAGUGAAGCGGCAACAGCUCAAAUUUGAAAUCUGGCUCUUUUAGGGUCCGAGUUGUAAUUUGUAGAGGAUGCUUCGGCGUCGGCUCCGGUCUAAGUUCCUUGGAACAGGACGUCAUAGAGGGUGAGAAUCCCGUAUGUGAUCGGUUGCCCUUGCCAUGUGAAGCUCCUUCGACGAGUCGAGUUGUUUGGGAAUGCAGCUCUAAAUGGGAGGUAAAUUUCUUCUAAAGCUAAAUACUGGCCAGAGACCGAUAGCGCACAAGUAGAGUGAUCGAAAGAUGAAAAGCACUUUGGAAAGAGAGUCAAAAAGUACGUGAAAUUGUUGAAAGGGAAGCGCUUGCAACCAGACCUGCCUGCAGUUGCUCAUCCGGGCUUUUGCCCGGUGCACUCUUCUGCUGUCAGGCCAGCAUCAGUCCGGGCGGUUGGAUAAAGGCUUCGGGAAUGUAGCUCCUCUUCGAGGAGUGUUAUAGCCCGUUGCGAAAUGCGGCCAGCCUGAACUGAGGUCCGCGCUUCGGCUAGGAUGCUGGCGUAAUGGUUGUAAGCGGCCCGUCUUGAAACACGG
This 626-nucleotide ribosomal RNA is filed under the name uncultured fungus. RNAcentral describes it as "eukaryotic LSU rRNA". It matches the Rfam family "Eukaryotic large subunit ribosomal RNA", at positions 24 to 664 of the family's 3401-position model. Lineage: Eukaryota; Fungi. The record is from RNAcentral.